AGAUCAUGCUGGCAGCUUUAACCUCUCAAAAAACCAACAUACAGAAGCGAGACGGAGUCAGAAUUUAAAGUUUAUGCAUUCUGAUCUUGCGGACUGAAAUAGAUUCAAGAAAUUAAAAAGCAAAAAAAUGAUAGAACAAAUGGUAUGACCUAUUUGAGGAAGCAUUUUAAGGUAUAUAAGAAAAGUGGGGCAUUUUCUUUCUCUUUGUGGGGUGGGGUGGGG
This 222-nucleotide unclassified non-coding RNA is filed under the name Hevea brasiliensis (rubber tree). Lineage: Eukaryota; Viridiplantae; Streptophyta; Magnoliopsida; Malpighiales; Euphorbiaceae. The record is from RNAcentral.